UGCAUCGGCCGGGAAUCGAACCCGGGGCCACCCGCGUGGCAGGCGAGCAUUCGACCACUGAUCCACCGAUGC
This 72-nucleotide transfer RNA is filed under the name Cordylochernes scorpioides. RNAcentral describes it as "tRNA-Gly". Lineage: Eukaryota; Metazoa; Arthropoda; Arachnida; Pseudoscorpiones; Chernetidae. The record is from RNAcentral.